Molecule: unclassified non-coding RNA, 200 nt
Filed under: soil metagenome
Description: partial contains internal transcribed spacer 2 and large subunit ribosomal RNA
Source: RNAcentral
AGCGGAGUUACCCUGGAGUUACCCUGCAAAGGGCUACCCUGUAGCUACCCUGUAGUUCCUUAAAGACAGCGGCGGAGUUGUGUUUUCCUCUGGGCUUAGUAAUUACUUCCUAGCUUUCGAGUAGCCACAUCCCUUGCCGUUAAACAUCCUUCUUCUGAAUGGUUGACCUCGGAUCAGGUAGGAAUACCCGCUGAACUUAA